UGGGGGACAUUUAAAUUUUACCAUGUCAUCCUGGGUGUCUUCGCCCUGCAGAUUUCUUUCAGCCUCACUGUCAGUGUUUUCUCUUGCAAAGCCAUCAGUGUCCGCAGACGCUACCGCCCAAUCCUGGUGUAAUUCCACGAUGGCUCUGCAGCGUCGGGACAGCGAUGGCUUACAAACCUCCACAUGGCCUCCAAACUCACCGUGAGAAUACCAUCAGUAAUACUACAGCAGAGUACUAUCAUACUCUGACUCUGCCUGUCAUUAUACUCUUUCCAAGAGUAAUCAUGUUGCACUGCAUUCUGGGUAAUUUAGGGGUCAAAAUUGUGUUCAGGUUUAAAUGUGGGUUUGGGGUGUGGGGGGGCAGUGGAAAAGACGCAUGCCUUGUCCGUGAGCAAGACACUUAACCCGUCGUUGCUGAGCAGAUGAUUCAGACGCCAUCAAUAGAGAGAGGAUUUCAUGUCGGGACAAACUGAGGUACGACGUUCUGAAACAGCUUAAUACAUUUUAUUUUAACGCCGAAUUCAGCAGAAGACACGACAGGUAAAGACUGAGUGUUGAAAGCUUUUCACAGGUUGUCUAAUGCAAGCUAGACAAAAUUAAACAGACUCAUUUAUGAAGGCAGUCUGGUGACAAAGGAGCAUUAUUUAGAGAUGCUGUUUAAUAACUGGUCAUUGGGUGUGUAAAUUUAGAGUUGAAAUGAACUAUAUGUCACUGUGCAUGUGGUUAUCUACCAUGAAUGUAUUUUUAUUUAGCGAUAAUGUUGUGUACUAAACCAAACCAAACAAAGAAUACUGUACAAAAGCUCUCUUUAACGUACCACAUUGAUAAAACAUAUUUUACCAAAAAAUAAACUUAUCAACACUUUCAUGCAUCAAUUAUAAAAAAAAAAAAAUAUUUAAAAUUUUAUUUAACUGUCCACGUGUGAGUUCA
Molecule: long non-coding RNA, 930 nt
Organism: Micropterus dolomieu (smallmouth bass)
Lineage: Eukaryota; Metazoa; Chordata; Actinopteri; Centrarchiformes; Centrarchidae
Exons: 2
Source: RefSeq, a predicted model, not a curated record